Molecule: ribosomal RNA, 468 nt
Filed under: uncultured bacterium
Lineage: Bacteria
Description: partial 16S ribosomal RNA
Rfam family: Bacterial small subunit ribosomal RNA
Source: RNAcentral
GACGAACGCUGGCGGCGUGCUUAACACAUGCAAGUCGAACGGAAAGGCCCUGCUUUUGUGGGGUGCUCGAGUGGCGAACGGGUGAGUAACACGUGAGUAACCUGCCCUUGACUUUGGGAUAACUUCAGGAAACUGGGGCUAAUACCGGAUAGGAGCUCCUGCUGCAUGGUGGGGGUUGGAAAGAUUCGGCGGUUGGGGAUGGACUCGCGGCUUAUCAGCUUGUUGGUGGGGUAGUGGCUUACCAAGGCUUUGACGGGUAGCCGGCCUGAGAGGGUGACCGGCCACAUUGGGACUGAGAUACGGCCCAGACUCCUACGGGAGGCAGCAGUGGGGAAUAUUGCACAAUGGGCGGAAGCCUGAUGCAGCAACGCCGCGUGCGGGAUGACGGCCUUCGGGUCGUAAACCGCUUUCGCCUGUGACGAAGCGUGAGUGACGGUAAUGGGUAAAGAAGCACCGGCUAACUACGUG